GACGAACGCUGGCGGCGUGCCUAAUACAUGCAAGUUGAGCGCUGAAGGUUGGUACUUGUACCAACUGGAUGAGCAGCGAACGGGUGAGUAACGCGUGGGGAAUCUGCCUUUGAGCGGGGGACAACAUUUGGAAACGAAUGCUAAUACCGCAUAAAAACUUUAAACACAAGGUUUAAGUUUGAAAGAUGCAAUUGCAUCACUCAAAGAUGAUCCCGCGUUGUAUUAGCUAGUUGGUGAGGUAAAGGCUCACCAAGGCGAUGAUACAUAGCCGACCUGAGAGGGUGAUCCGCCACAUUGGGACUGGGACACGGGCCAAAAUUCUACGGGAGGCAGCAGUAGGGGAUCUUCGGCAAUGGACGAAAGUCUGACCGAGCAAAGCCGCGUGAGUGAAGAAGGUUUUCGGAUCGUAAAACUCUGUUGGUAGAGAAGAACGUUGGUGAGAGUGGAAAGCUCAUCAAGUGACGGUAACUACACAGAAAGGGACGGCUAACUACGUG
Molecule: ribosomal RNA, 497 nt
Filed under: uncultured bacterium
Lineage: Bacteria
Description: partial 16S ribosomal RNA
Rfam family: Bacterial small subunit ribosomal RNA
Source: RNAcentral